UGAAUCAGUGAUGACUCUUGGUGGCCUAUGAGUCCUAUAUGAUGACUACAUGUUGAACUCUGAGGUCCAA
This is a non-coding RNA of Myotis davidii, 70 nucleotides long. Lineage: Eukaryota; Metazoa; Chordata; Mammalia; Chiroptera; Vespertilionidae. The record is from Rfam.